UUAUAGAUAUAGGCAAAAAUGCCAUUCACGCUGUAACAAGUGGUUUUAGUGAUGGUGUUCACUUUUACCAUAAGGACAAACAACAUUAUUAGAAAUGAAACUGAUCAUCUCAAGUCCAUCGAAAAUCUUCAGUUGUGGAUUGCAUGCCAUACAUUACUUUUUUUAACAGCUUUGUAAGCAAGCUCUUUAGAACUUGCUAUGAAAAUACUAAUAAAAAUCUUUCUUGCAUUA
Molecule: long non-coding RNA, 231 nt
Organism: Parasteatoda tepidariorum (common house spider)
Lineage: Eukaryota; Metazoa; Arthropoda; Arachnida; Araneae; Theridiidae
Source: RefSeq, a predicted model, not a curated record